This is a long non-coding RNA of Daktulosphaira vitifoliae (grape phylloxera), 2967 nucleotides long. RefSeq lists it as uncharacterized. The record is from RefSeq and is a predicted model, not a curated record. The transcript has 5 exons. Lineage: Eukaryota; Metazoa; Arthropoda; Insecta; Hemiptera; Phylloxeridae.
UAUAUCAUAAAAAAUUAAUGUUUUAAUUAUAAGAUAAUCUUAAUAAUUACACUAGAAAUUAUUUUAUUAAUUUUUAAAUUAAAAUUAGAAUAUAAACUUAAAUUGUGAAUCGCACAUUUAUUAAACGAUUGGACUUACGGAAAUAUAUGUAUUGAUGGUAAGAAUAAAGCGAGAAUACCCAUACAAGAAAUUCAGCAUUGUAUUGCUAAACUAGAAAAAUUGUACAAUGAAUGGAGACAAAUACAAAAAAAUUCAAAUAAAAGAACUGAAUCGCAAAUUAUGAAGGAAGAAUUAUUUAUGUCAAAGUCAGACGAUUUAUUUGACAUUACUCACGCCAAUGCAUUAAACAUGAUAAAAAUCUAGGAAGAUCGAGAUUUUUUACUUUUACAGAGUGAAAAAGAGCGAAGGGCCACAUGAUGGGUGUGGAUACAAAUUUGUUUCAAGCUGAAAAGAAAAAAGCUUCAAAAUGAAAAAAACCCCAUGAAGCUUUAAAGCGUUCGAAAAUUGAAGAAGAAAAAUUAAUUGAAACACUUUCAGAUGUGUCAGUAAGUUUGGAGGACUUGAACAAUGAAAACUUAAUUUUAGAACAUCAACCAGAUCCUUCUGUUACAAAUAAAGGAUGUAGGAUGACGGUUCUUCUAUUGUCCAGAAUUAACGCAACAAAUUAUCAACAGAUGGGCUAAGAGCCACGCCUGAGGCGAGGUUUCAGUGAGCAAGACCGUACCUACUUCCAUCCUGCUUAGAUGGGUGUCAAGCGCAGAGGGUAGACUUUUCAUGUGUAUGAUCUUCGUCUUUAGACUUACAGUACGUGGAAAGACAUCUUCAUCUAACAUUAUCAAUCGUACCGGACGUGUCAAAGUGGGGAUCGACAAACAAUAAGUCGUGAUAUUGCUCACGUACCUUCGGUGGUAAACGCUCGGAUGGCAUGAGAUGUGUUAUUCUUGAUAAAACAAUCAAGUUAUUACUCGUAAACACUGGUUCUAAUGCGUAGUGUGGUAUAAACGUGCAUUUGGAACUGCCCUUUAUUUGGCUUACACGGUUUUGCGCCAAGCCGAUUAUCUCGGAGAGGUAUUUACGACGCGGUAAGCUAAGACGUGAUAAAAAAUCUGACGUAAUCGCUGAUAUUUGGGACCCACUGUCCAUUAUAACACAUGCAAACGUUGGUAAGAGUAGGUGUUAUCGAAAAUACGCACGUCAGCAAUACCUAAUAUUACGGAACUCUGUGCAUAUGAAGUACCUGAAAAUGUCGGUGGCGUAUUAUCUGUUUGAUCACCACUUGGCGCACGUUGAUCCACGUGCAAAAUAAUGUGGUGCUUUUUUUUGCACCUUUUACACGCCGACUUUAAAGUGCAUGACGAUGCAUCAUGGUUUGAGACCCAACCCAACAUAAUUUGUGCGCAGAAAUAUGUUAACGCAUUUUUUGAACAGAAAUUUUUUGAAAGGUAUAGCAACGAUAAAGGGGAUGUACACCUUUUUGACAAUAAGAACACUGAAUUUUAUUUUGGACAGAAGGCUCUAAAUUGUUAGACGCGACGAUGGUUAAUGAAUGUUUCGAGAACUUCGAAUUUUUCUGUAUCGAACGCGACGCUGCUAGAAUUGAUCCUUUAAGAUUUUACAAAAUUUUACAACGUUGCUGAUCAAACUUCAGCAAGUCAUCCAUAGUAGGAAUAAUCGAUUGGGAUAUACUGUUUUUAAAUAGGUGUCUCGUCGUGUUAUCGAGUACACGAGAAGCAAUAUUAAAAACUAGACAGGUCGUCUACGUUUAAAAUUUUGAUUGCCCCGACAUUUUCUUUAAACACAUUCAGAAAAAGUUGCAAAGACAAAAGUGAUUCGGGAUCUCAAUAAUCCACUUAAGGGGUCUAUCCCGUAAAGUGCGUGAUUCGAAAAGAGCCUUUUCUUCCAAAUUUACUUUAACGGGGCCGUGAUUAGAACAAAUAAAUAUCCACACUCGAAGGACCAAUUCAUGAACGCAACGUCUGGUGGUAUUCUCGCGGGUUCGUUAACAUUCGUGGUUUUAUUUUGUCUUAAGUCUUUGGCUAUGUCGAGGAUAAGGAAUAAGGCGAGUGGACUGUAUGAAUGAAUGUAGAAUGAAUUUUACAAUAUAUAAUUAUAACAAUUAAAUGUAUUAUACAUGAACCAUAAAAUCUUAUUACACCAAUGUGGAUAGGGGGACACUUAAUACUAAGGCCACCAUGGCGCUGAUAUAAACAAAUAAUAAAUUAUAAACGUGAGUAAGUAUUAGAAAGAAGAUGAACAAGCAUUAUACUUAUCGGCUGAUAAUAAUGUUGAAUAUUGAAAGGAUCAAUUGAAAUCGACUGAAAUUAGCUGAGCUACGUGUACAAUAUGCUGUGAACGGUACUGUGAUGUAUCUCAGAAAAUAUAUAGACCUAACUGCGAUGUAUUGAGCGCACGAGGGUGUGACAAUCGCAAAUGUGAUAUUUUAUUUUGACAACAAAAGGAACACAAAACUACUGGCUCGCAAUCGCCAUAGAGCUUAUAGGUAAAAAAACGCAAAGAUGGCGGCGGCAAUGCAGACAUAGAGAGAAGACCGACAACAACUCGAUGUAGCACAACGAUAGAAUAAAUAAUCACAACACAACUUCUCGACAGCAUAAUGAUGUGUAUCAAACAACAACAAAAACUAUUGUUCUCUUUUAACUUCGAUCCUAACUUGUAAAUAAUUUCAAUAUAGUUAUAAUGUUAGUAAAGUAUAAAAAAUUGAUUUUUUUUCUAAUGGUAGAAUCAAAUGUAAUUAUUUUUCUUAAAAUACAAAAAAUGUUUUAUUUUAUCAGUUCUAGUAUGACAAAAUUUCAUAAUUUUGUAGCAAAGUUAAAAAAAUAAAAAUGCAGCUAUUGAUGGAAAUUAUUUAAAUUUUCAUAAAACUCAAAACCCAACCAGAAUCUUAAAAAAUAAAUGUUUUCUAACGAUUUGUAAAAUGAUUUCUACUACACUAUUAAUAUUUUUACU